Molecule: long non-coding RNA, 457 nt
Filed under: Rattus norvegicus (Norway rat)
Lineage: Eukaryota; Metazoa; Chordata; Mammalia; Rodentia; Muridae
Description: long non-coding RNA NONRATT028590
Source: RNAcentral
ACCAGAAUACGGCAUCAGAAAGUUGUGAGCUGCUAUGCAGAUGCUGGGAUUCGAACUCAGGACCUCAGAAGAGCACGCCAGAUGCCCAGCCUUUCCGUGAGCUUUAGAAUUACACUCAGCUCUUCCCAAUUGCAAGUGAUGGAAUUAAAGGUGUGCAGUCCAAUGCCACUGCCCAGCUAGGACUCAGGUUUUUAGAGCAGAAUCUGCUGGGAAUCUGGACGAUACAUCUCUACGUCUCUGACAUAAGCCAAUCAUCCACAGCUGAACGAGCUGUGGCAAGAUUCUGACUAUCUCCAUCGCAAGUCAUUUGACCACGUGCUGUCCUUUGACACAUCCAAGGUACAAAGCUACCCACAGUGUGUAAUUAAGGGUUUCGGAUAGACUAAGGUUUUCCCCUGCCAAAUGUCAUUCAUCUGUGCUUGAGUCUUCCAACAAAUACAACCGAAAUAUGAUUCGU